UUUUUAUUUUUAUUUUUUAUAAUAAAAAAAAACACGGAGAUGAUUUAGAAUAAUUAAUUGCUUGAGACUCCUCAACUAAAGUAGUCCACUCGGACAAGUUAUAUUUUCUGUCUUAAUGGAUAUAAAUAACAAAUUAUUCUGGGUCAUGUAAGUAACAUGUUUAUUAAACGAUUAAUACUUUAGUUAUAAUUCUUACAAAAUAAUAUCUCACAAUUCUUAACUAGGAAGACCCAAAUACUAAAUUUCAGUUUUUCUUUUCUUUUUUUUUUUUUUUAGGUAAUAUAAAGUAUAUUGAAAACGACACUAAAACUCAUAGAAUCCCCACAAAACCCAAAAAAAGAUCUUGUAGAGAUUGAAUCCCUAAUAUAUUAAUAAAUAUUUUAUUCCCUCCAAGAAAUUAGUCAUCUUAAUAAACCGUCCAAAGACCAGUGUAAAUGUGCCACGUAAUGUGCCAGGUGACGAUGGAGAUGUAGUUAGCGUGGAGGGUUGGGGGAGAUGUAUCAAAACGCCUUUAAGGCAAAAUCUAGUUUUGAUAAAAUUGAAUUGAAUUUAGAUACAUGCACUGAGUCUGUGGGUCCCCAGUGGGUCUGUUCUCUGUAUGUAUGUGGGGGCCAGAAGAGCUUGACACAUCUUUUUUCGAAGUUCCUCCAAAAGGUGGAAGAAAACAUCUAUCAUGGCUAGUGGUGAUGGAUGUACCUUGUGGGAUUCGUUUUUUGGCCAAAAUUUCGUGCCAAAACAAUGUCCAACUCUGACACCAUCCCUUCAAACCCUCUCACUUGUCGACACCUGUGUUCCUAGUCUUGGGGUCGGGACCCACCAAACCUCCUUGCAAUCAGUCCAUUUUCCAUUUAAUUUUUGCUUCUUCUUCUUCUUCUUCACGCUUCACUCUUCCCUCUUCCUUUUUUCAGCUUUCAUGGAUGAAAACUUCACAAAAUCAAAAGCAAUAAUAAAUGAAGAAAGACUCAGAUAACAUGGUUUUCUUAAGUAUGGUAUAUUGGGAUAAUGACUUUAUUUACUUAUUUAUUUUCGGUCAAAGAAUAAUGACUGUAUUUGAGUUUUCUUUGUUUCUUUCUUUUUUCUUUUUUUUUUAUUCAAAUAAAUGCCUAAAUAAUGAAUAUUUUAUUGCAAGUAUUUGACAUUCUUUUUAGUGGCAUUCGCAGUUUAGAAAAGAAAGAUAUGAAUGGUGAAAUUGGAAAACAUUUGAGAUGAAAGUGUUUCUUUCCAAGGAGCUUGCUUGCCCGGUUCUUGUUGGACUCCUUACAGUCUGCAGAUAAUAUACACGUAAAGUUUUGUCAGAAAACCACGAAGAUGAAAGCAGAACUAGCAAAAUGGGUUAUUUAUCUGGAGCUCUUUAAGCCAGACAAACAACUGAGGAGAGCUUAAUGAAACAGAAAAUUAGACCAUUGUUAUGAUACUCAAAAGUAGUUUUCGCAGGCGCAGAGUUAUAAACGAGAAUGGGAUACACAUGAGAAAGCCUCCUAGGAGUAAAACUUAUGUUGCUACUAUAUGCUUUGCAUUCUAAAAACUUGUUAAAAGAGUAUACAGUAGAUGACUACCUUAAUUGUGCAAAUCAAAGAAGCAACAAAUCAAUGUCUAAUAAAAGGAAUAUAUUUGAAUGAUAGGGCAUUUAUUGGCGAUGAGACAGAGGCACGUUAAAUAUGUCCUUGAGCUCUGAAAUAGAAAUGUUUAAUCCCAUUUUUCUCUGAACACAAGCAACACAUUCAAGACGACAACAUUGCUCCACGUGAAAUAAUCAGUUGGUAGAGAAUAAUCAUAACAUAGUUCUAUCUUCAUCACGUUUCAUACCAAAUGACCAAAACCAGAUUUAAGUAAGGAAAACGAACCUGCCAUACGCAAGACCAGACUUAAGGGCUGAGCUGAGUAUCGCAAGCUUUUCCUUUCAAGUAUACUGCAAACCAUUUAAAGCUUCCAGUCAAUCUAAAAGCACAAAAACCAUCAACUUCAUUAAGAACCAGACCAAACCUUUAUUUCACAUGUAGAACAUGAAUAGGUGAUAUCUAACUGGCCAUCAAAGACUUACCAAUAUGAAAUCAAGUACAACAAAUGAAUCUUGCAAAAAUAUUACCUCUUCAAUUCUUCCACUUUUCAAAUAACUUGUCAAAAAAAUUUAUAAUAGACCAUUAAUUCCAGACAGUAAAAAACUCAGACAACUGCCAAACUAAUGCAGGGAAAAAGAGAGAGAGAGAUUCAAAAGAACCAGGAAGGAAACUCUUACCCAUCAGCAUGCUCAACAAAUGCGCAAGAAGCAGAAGCCUGUAUAGAUAUCAACAGUAACAAAAGGCAGGAUAAAAUCUAAGUUUGCUGAACCAAAAUUUCAAACUGGUUCUUGUCCUCUAAUGUCAAACACAGGAGUUGAUAGGACAAUAAUAUCUCUAAGAGAAUUACAAACCAAUAAACCAAGAGAGAAAAGAAAGGAGAAACCUCUAAUUUUGAUCUAUGAGAGACUGUUAUAUUGAAUGAAAAGCUGAUUUUAUUAGGAAUAUAAAAUGUAUUUACAAGAGGCAUUCUUUUCUGAUUUGUAAAAACUAGAACCAGGAUACAGUGUUUGCUAAGAUAUAAUCACUAAGACAUACUUACUUGUACCUCGAACAAAGAGAUCUUUACAGUAGUCACCCAACUUAUACAGGACAAAAAUCCAAAACAUCUCAAAGGUUCACUCAAAAAUCAACUUGUGCAGCAGGAUCCUAAGAAAGAAUCUAUAUAACCUAAUUGUAGAUCGGAUAGCCGAAUGACUAUUCUUAUAACUGGUAAUUUCUUGACAACAACAAUUGUGUUUUGUUUGUCAACGGUAUAAUGAACAAGACUAUGUACAGAAGCAACUUCACACCAUCAUAUUUAAGUCUGAAAGGUCAUCCAUGGGAAUUUCAAGGCCCAUAAAGUCGUGAUCUUGCAAUCCAUCAUCAUCAACAACA
Molecule: long non-coding RNA, 2933 nt
Organism: Ziziphus jujuba (common jujube)
Lineage: Eukaryota; Viridiplantae; Streptophyta; Magnoliopsida; Rosales; Rhamnaceae
Exons: 2
Source: RefSeq, a predicted model, not a curated record